GGAAGUAGAAGUCGUAACAAGGUUUCCGAAGGUGAACCUGCGGAAGGAUCAUUAUUGUAUAACCGAGGUGCGAGGGCUGUCGCUGACCCGAAAGGUCGUGCACGCCCGAGUGCCCUCACACACAUCCAUCUCACCCCUAUGUGCACCACCGCGUGGGUCCCCCUUUGGCUUGUUCGGAGGGGGGCUUACGUUUUCACACAAACUUUGUAUGCAGUGUAGAAUGUAUUUUUUGUUUUUGCGAUCACGCAAUCAAUACAGCUUUCAACAACGGAUCUCUUGGCUCUC
RNAcentral lists this unclassified non-coding RNA (285 nucleotides) under plant metagenome. RNAcentral's name for it is "partial contains small subunit ribosomal RNA and internal transcribed spacer 1". The stretch from base 1 to 54 matches the Rfam family "Eukaryotic small subunit ribosomal RNA", at positions 1778 to 1831 of the family's 1831-position model. The record is from RNAcentral.